CCUCCUCACAGUAGAUUGGCCAAUCAUAGCGCCAGCCAAAGGCUCGUGACCCUCAAGAGACGAAUUGAGCCACAACUCCUUUAAGGGCACAGAAUGCAGUAUGUAUAUAGGAGAAAUCAUCUCCUUGUUAAGUUCUCCCCUUUAUCCCAAAAAUAAAUCUAUGUAAUAACUUUAGAUGUACGCCUACAUUAUAGCCACUACUUCUAAAAAUCAAAAAGAAAACAAACCUAUUCUCCUUCUUCAACCUUUAGGAUUCUCCCAACAAUAUACUAUAAUCCCAUAAUAUAACCCCACUCAAUAAAACAGAAACUUUCUCUAGUAAAAGCAAAUUGUUUGUCCAGAUUUAUUCAAACUGGGAUCCUUCAUUUUUAUUUUCCAUCGGAAAAUAGUUCCUUAUGUUUUUGACUGGAUUGAAUCGCGACAAUCCUUUAGACAGGGACUUGCGACCUAAUCAGAUCCCCACCGGUAGCCGAAUAAUUUGUGCUGUUAUUCACUGUUGCAGGCCUGCUUAGAACAAAAAUGAGAAAAAGAGAGCUGAUUAUUAGCUCCUGAAAACACAAAAACAAAACAAAAUCACCUGACAGGUUUUCUUUGAGUGCACUGUUACAAAAAUAAUGGGCCCCUCUCAAACAUGACCAUGUUUCCUAAAACUCCCUCUAUUUAAAAACAAAAACAACAACCACCCAAACCUAACUGACAGAAUCAACCCAUCACCACAUAAUUCCACCUCCUCAAUACACCGAAAAUCUAGAUAAAACCACACAAUUUGCACUUUAUGCACUUUAACAUGCCUAGAUUCAACAUACUCAAAUGUUCUUUAUUAACCAUUCACACCAUUCUAUCACUCAUACAAACAGCAAGCUGUUUUUAUUUUCUUUGUGUUCUAAGCCAGGUUUAAUCAAUGUCUAUGCAUUAAUCAUCGUGGGCUUGUCUUGUCUUUGUAGGGUUACUGCGUUUUCUGCUUGUGUAUGUGAAUUUGCAUAUGUUGCUUUUGCAGCGUGUCAGACUCCUUCAUAAUUCUCCACUUAAGCCGUCAGUUUCCUUUCCCCAAUUUGCUAACCCAAAUUUUUAAACGCCCACCUUAUUAACAGCAUUCCUGGUCCUCUGCCAGAAGUUAGGGCCCCACUUUGUCAGGUUUGUGGAGACAUGGCGCUGUGAACAAUUCAACCAGAAACUUGCCUUAUCAGAUCCAGUCAAAUUAACCUAUAGGUUUUUCCUUCCGACCGCUGCACGUGGAGAAUUGAUCCAGUUCUGU
Long non-coding RNA from Astatotilapia calliptera (eastern happy), 1255 nucleotides. Lineage: Eukaryota; Metazoa; Chordata; Actinopteri; Cichliformes; Cichlidae. The record is from Ensembl.